GGAAAGAGUCAUUGAUCGGCAGCGGCAGGGAUUUGUGGCGACGGUGAACCCGAGAUUCGCAGGUUAAACAAUGCCGUUUUGUAUGCUAAAAAUGAAGGCUUAGCUGAUUUCGUUGAAAAGGAACUCUUAUUGUGCUUAGUUCCGAAAGAAGCAAAAGCAUUCACAACCAACCACCGACCACUGGUAUCCUCUAGAUUUAGCGUAAUUUAAUACAAUCUUAAGGCCUAGGGCACAAUUGGACAAGUUAGAAAGUCAAAAAGCACAAGUCAAGUACUAGGAAGAUUACACAAGCCGUGCAUUAGGAGGACCAGACCCAUAUAACUAGCUGCUAAGAAAGUGCCAUGAGAAGACAACCACACGAUCCGUGUAAGAGACCCG
RNAcentral lists this unclassified non-coding RNA (378 nucleotides) under Hevea brasiliensis (rubber tree). The record is from RNAcentral. Lineage: Eukaryota; Viridiplantae; Streptophyta; Magnoliopsida; Malpighiales; Euphorbiaceae.